Butyrivibrio fibrisolvens 16/4 is the source of this 138-nucleotide non-coding RNA. NCBI's taxonomy places the organism in Bacteria, Bacillati, Bacillota, Clostridia, Lachnospirales, Lachnospiraceae. The record is from Rfam.
UAAUGCACAAAGUUGUUGCCGAAGACAGCAGGUGGCGUUAGCCGUAAAGAGAUUUAUCUCUACCAGCCGAGGACGAUUAAGUAUUUAUCGAUUACUUAUCCCCUGUGUCUUUGGAUGCAGGGGAUUUUUUAGAUGAAU